AUGGUGCCGAGGGCACCACCGGACGCCUGGCUUUCGCAGACCAGGUUGGCCGAGCGACUCCUCAGCCCCCUGCUGGCGUCACUCCCACUUUCCCCUGGAAACGGGCCCCUGGCACCCAUGUCACAGCCCCGUGAGGCCCAGGGGCAGCGCGGCGAAGGCCAGGGCCCUGGAGGGUCAGGCAGCGGCAUCCUCCACACCCAGAGGGCGCGGAGGAGGUGCGGGCGCAGCCCGGAGACGUGCGGGGGCAGGAGCGGGGGUGCCCAGCCCAGCGCAGCCACCUUCCCUCGGGGUCGGCGCUCACACCCCGGGGAGCUUAAGGCUUUGGAGCGGGACCCUGUGACGGGCCAUCAGAGACUCGGCUUUGUGCGGCCCAGGCUGUCGGAGCAAAAGCCGGGAAGCUCCCAGCGGCUCCCGCGGGGAGAGGGAAGUGCGGCGGCCUUCCUGCGGGUCACACGCGGGGGUGCCGCGAGCAAGGGGCCGAAACCCCAAUGCAGAGCUGAGCCCGCCCCCCGGCUGGCACACGCUGAUGUGCUCGGGGGCCAUGACACAGGGCUCCCGAGGCAGCGAGGGACAGGCCCCAGCACCAUCCCGCACCCUGGCCCUGCCGACCCCGCCGGGCUCACCUGGGGAGAUUCCUGUCCCUGCCGCAUGUCCCGACCCCUGCAGGCACCAGGGGCAGGUGGAGGCUGGACGCGGGGGCACCGUUUGUCCCAGCCUGUCUCUUCCCCCAGGGGACAGCUGGCCCAGGGCGCUCCUGGGGGCCUCUCAGCCACGUGCCUGCGGAAGGGGCUUCCGUCAGGGUAUGUGAGGGGCCAAGGGGCAGGGCUGGUGGGCUUGGAGCCACCAGUGGACAAGCCCCGCCAGGAGCCCACACCCAGGGCAGGGCGUGAUUUACAACAGGCACUUGACCAGCCACCCAGCGCUGUCACCUCCCCGGCUCUGCCCUGGGGCCUGCCUUGCAGGGGCCAGGAGGGGCUGGGGAGGACAGGCCUGCCCUCAGCAGAGGCAUCAGGGAGAAAAAGGAGGCCCGGUGGCUCUGGGGUGGGCCCACCUGGCAGGCCGAGGGGUGGGGCGGGCUGGGCGCCAUGA
This 1089-nucleotide long non-coding RNA is filed under the name Sus scrofa (pig). Its description in RNAcentral is "lncRNA (ENSSSCG00070018656.1)". The record is from RNAcentral. Lineage: Eukaryota; Metazoa; Chordata; Mammalia; Artiodactyla; Suidae.